UCUUGGAAGUAAAAAGAAAAAUCUACCAGAGUACUAUGAAUAAAUGUUUAAAACUCAAAGAGCUUGGCGGUGCUUUAGACUUUUCAGGGGAACCUGUCUUAUAAUCGACAAUCCACGCUAUACCUGACCCUUUCUCGCACACAAUUUGUAUACCGUCGUCGUCAGGUAACUUUUAAAAAUUUUAAUAGUUAGCAGAAGAGUUUAUAUAAUAAACUUAAACGUCAGAUCAAGGUGCAAUCAAUGAAAGGGGCAAGAUGGGUUACAAUUACAAAAUAGUAAUACGAAAAACUAGUUGAAAUACUACUUUAAAGGAGGACUUGAAAGUAAAUUAUUCAUUACAUAUGUAUAUUAGUUGAAUAAAGCUCUGAAGCGUGC
RNAcentral lists this ribosomal RNA (375 nucleotides) under Vexillum virgo. Its description in RNAcentral is "partial 12S ribosomal RNA". Lineage: Eukaryota; Metazoa; Mollusca; Gastropoda; Neogastropoda; Costellariidae. The record is from RNAcentral.